Molecule: ribosomal RNA, 466 nt
Filed under: uncultured bacterium
Lineage: Bacteria
Description: bacterial SSU rRNA
Rfam family: Bacterial small subunit ribosomal RNA
Source: RNAcentral
GAUGAACGCUAGCGGCAGGCUUAACACAUGCAAGUCGAGGGGUAUAGUAGCAAUACUAGAGACCGGCGCACGGGUGCGUAACGCGUGGGAAUCUGCCCUUCGGUUCGGAACAACAGUUAGAAAUGACUGCUAAUACCGGAUAAUGACGUAAGUCCAAAGAUUUAUCGCCGAAGGAUGAGCCCGCGUAAGAUUAGGUAGUUGGUGGGGUAAUGGCCUACCAAGCCGACGAUCUUUAGCUGGUCUGAGAGGAUGAUCAGCCACACUGGGACUGAGACACGGCCCAGACUCCUACGGGAGGCAGCAGUGGGGAAUAUUGGACAAUGGGCGAAAGCCUGAUCCAGCAAUGCCGCGUGAGUGAUGAAGGCCUUAGGGUUGUAAAGCUCUUUUACCUAGGGAUGAUAAUGACAGUACCUGGAGAAUAAGCUCCGGCUAACUCCGUGCCAGCAGCCGCGGUAAUGUACAGUGU